UACGUAGGGGGCAAGCGUUAUCCGGAUUUACUGGGUGUAAAGGGAGCGUAGACGGCAGUGCAAGUCAGAUGUGAAAUCCAGGGGCUCAACCCCUGAACUGCAUUUGAAACUGUCGUUCUUGAGUACUGGAGAGGUUGACGGAAUUCCUAGUGUAGCGGUGAAAUGCGUAGAUAUUAGGAGGAACACCAGUGGCGAAGGCGGUCAACUGGACAGCAACUGACGCUGAGGCGCGAAAGCGUGGGGAGCAAACAGG
Molecule: ribosomal RNA, 253 nt
Filed under: uncultured bacterium
Lineage: Bacteria
Description: partial 16S ribosomal RNA
Rfam family: Bacterial small subunit ribosomal RNA
Source: RNAcentral